This 1671-nucleotide ribosomal RNA is filed under the name Campylobacter jejuni. Its description in RNAcentral is "partial 23S ribosomal RNA". It matches the Rfam family "Bacterial large subunit ribosomal RNA", at positions 1272 to 2925 of the family's 2925-position model. The record is from RNAcentral. Lineage: Bacteria; Pseudomonadati; Campylobacterota; Epsilonproteobacteria; Campylobacterales; Campylobacteraceae.
GCUGGAGCGAAUAGAAGUGAGCAUGCAGGCAUGAGUAGCGAUAAUUAAUGUGAGAAUCAUUAACGCCGUAAACCCAAGGUUUCCUACGCGAUGCUCGUCAUCGUAGGGUUAGUCGGGUCCUAAGUCGAGUCCGAAAGGGGUAGACGAUGGCAAAUUGGUUAAUAUUCCAAUACCAACAUUAGUGUGCGAUGGAAGGACGCUUAGGGCUAAGGGGGCUAGCGGAUGGAAGUGCUAGUCUAAGGUCGUAGGAGGUUAUACAGGCAAAUCCGUAUAACAAUACUCCGAGAACUGAAAGGCUUUUUGAAGUCUUCGGAUGGAUAGAAGAACCCCUGAUGCCGUCGAGCCAAGAAAAGUUUCUAAGUUUAGCUAAUGUUGCCCGUACCGUAAACCGACACAGGUGGGUGGGAUGAGUAUUCUAAGGCGCGUGGAAGAACUCUCUUUAAGGAACUCUGCAAAAUAGCACCGUAUCUUCGGUAUAAGGUGUGGUUAGCUUUGUAUUAGGAUUUACUCCGAAAGCAAGGAAACUUACAACAAAGAGUCCCUCCCGACUGUUUACCAAAAACACAGCACUCUGCUAACUCGUAAGAGGAUGUAUAGGGUGUGACGCCUGCCCGGUGCUCGAAGGUUAAUUGAUGGGGUUAGCAUUAGCGAAGCUCUUGAUCGAAGCCCGAGUAAACGGCGGCCGUAACUAUAACGGUCCUAAGGUAGCGAAAUUCCUUGUCGGUUAAAUACCGACCUGCAUGAAUGGCGUAACGAGAUGGGAGCUGUCUCAAAGAGGGAUCCAGUGAAAUUGUAGUGGAGGUGAAAAUUCCUCCUACCCGCGGCAAGACGGAAAGACCCCGUGGACCUUUACUACAGCUUGACACUGCUACUUGGAUAAGAAUGUGCAGGAUAGGUGGGAGGCUUUGAGUAUAUGACGCCAGUUGUAUAUGAGCCAUUGUUGAGAUACCACUCUUUCUUAUUUGGGUAGCUAACCAGCUUGAGUUAUCCUCAAGUGGGACAAUGUCUGGUGGGUAGUUUGACUGGGGCGGUCGCCUCCCAAAUAAUAACGGAGGCUUACAAAGGUUGGCUCAGAACGGUUGGAAAUCGUUCGUAGAGUAUAAAGGUAUAAGCCAGCUUAACUGCAAGACAUACAAGUCAAGCAGAGACGAAAGUCGGUCUUAGUGAUCCGGUGGUUCUGUGUGGAAGGGCCAUCGCUCAAAGGAUAAAAGGUACCCCGGGGAUAACAGGCUGAUCUCCCCCAAGAGCUCACAUCGACGGGGAGGUUUGGCACCUCGAUGUCGGCUCAUCGCAUCCUGGGGCUGGAGCAGGUCCCAAGGGUAUGGCUGUUCGCCAUUUAAAGCGGUACGCGAGCUGGGUUCAGAACGUCGUGAGACAGUUCGGUCCCUAUCUGCCGUGGGCGUAAGAAGAUUGAAGAGAUUUGACCCUAGUACGAGAGGACCGGGUUGAACAAACCACUGGUGUAGCUGUUGUUCUGCCAAGAGCAUCGCAGCGUAGCUAAGUUUGGAAAGGAUAAACGCUGAAAGCAUCUAAGCGUGAAGCCAACUCUAAGAUGAAUCUUCUCUAAGCUCUCUAGAAGACUACUAGUUUGAUAGGCUGGGUGUGUAAUGGAUGAAAGUCCUUUAGCUGACCAGUACUAAUAGAGCGUUUGGCUUAUCUUUAAUAAAGCAU